RNAcentral lists this ribosomal RNA (374 nucleotides) under uncultured bacterium. RNAcentral's name for it is "bacterial SSU rRNA". It matches the Rfam family "Bacterial small subunit ribosomal RNA", at positions 139 to 507 of the family's 1533-position model. The record is from RNAcentral.
GGGGAUAACGUAGACGAAAGUUACGCUAAUACCGCAUAUUCUGUGAGCAGGAAAGCAGGGGAUCGCAAGACCUUGCGCUGAUUGAGCGGCCGAUAUCAGAUUAGCUAGUUGGUGAGGUAAAGGCUCACCAAGGCGACGAUCUGUAGCGGGUCUGAGAGGAUGAUCCGCCACACUGGAACUGAGACACGGUCCAGACUCCUACGGGAGGCAGCAGUGGGGAAUUUUGGACAAUGGGCGCAAGCCUGAUCCAGCCAUGCCGCGUGAGUGAAGAAGGCCUUCGGGUUGUAAAGCUCUUUCGGCCGGGAAGAAAUCGCACGGGUUAAUACCCUGUGUGGAUGACGGUACCGGAAUAAGAAGCACCGGCUAACUACGUG